RNAcentral lists this transfer RNA (74 nucleotides) under Candidatus Brocadiia bacterium. RNAcentral describes it as "tRNA-Arg". It matches the Rfam family "tRNA". Rfam says of the family: Transfer RNA (tRNA) molecules are approximately 80 nucleotides in length. Their secondary structure includes four short double-helical elements and three loops (D, anti-codon, and T loops). Lineage: Bacteria; Pseudomonadati; Planctomycetota; Candidatus Brocadiia. The record is from RNAcentral.
GUCCCCGUAGCUCAGUUGGAUAGAGCGGUGGUUUCCUAAACCGCAGGUCGCGCGUUCGAAUCGCGCCGGGGACA